UAUCAACUGUUUUAAAAGUAUGGUUCUGCUAUCACUCUUGGAGUGGACCUGCGGUGCAUUAGCUAGUUGGUAGGGGUAACGGCCUACCAAGGCGAUGAUGCAUAGCCCGAGUUGAGAGACUGAUCGGCCACAUUGGGACUGAGACACGGCCCAAACUCCUACGGGAGGCAGCAGUAGGGAAUCUUCCACAAUGGACGCAAGUCUGAUGGAGCAACGCCGCGUGAGUGAAGAAGGGUUUCGGCUCGUAAAGCUCUGUUGUUGGUGAAGAAGGACAGGGGGUAGUAACUGACCUUUGUUUGACGGUAAUCAAUUAGAAAGUCACGGCUAACUACGUGCCAGCAGCCGCGGUAAU
Molecule: ribosomal RNA, 352 nt
Filed under: uncultured Lactobacillus sp.
Lineage: Bacteria; Bacillati; Bacillota; Bacilli; Lactobacillales; Lactobacillaceae
Description: bacterial SSU rRNA
Rfam family: Bacterial small subunit ribosomal RNA
Source: RNAcentral